Molecule: long non-coding RNA, 842 nt
Organism: Oncorhynchus nerka (sockeye salmon)
Lineage: Eukaryota; Metazoa; Chordata; Actinopteri; Salmoniformes; Salmonidae
Exons: 4
Source: RefSeq, a predicted model, not a curated record
CUACACCAGGCCGACAGCCUGGGAGGGCAGGACCCUUUCGUUCAACACACCUUGUAUCUCUUCUGCAGUAAAACCUCGUAUACCCAUGUACUUUUCUGCAGCUGAGCUAGCUUCACCAAUCAAACAGUACCCGACUUCUUUUCUACCCUGGCCCGAGACUGCAUAUGGAUCAGCCAAAAGGCAGGGAUCUACUUUCUCCCAAAAUCUCACUCCCACUCACCCCUUUGCAUGACCAUCAGGCUCGGACUUGGAGGUCGUCACAACACUUGCCACCACAGGUCUGAUUGUGGGUUAUGUUGGAGAUGGAAACUUCCACUGUAUAAUGGUCAUGUACCCCUAAUGACCAGGAUGAGGUCACUAGAGUUCACUGAGAGACUGGCCAGAAAAGCAGUGGCACUGGACGGGACAUGCACAUGGAAGCACGGGGUGGGCCUGGGCAACGAGUGUUGCUUCGUGAGGAGAUGGGACCCCUUGCCAUGGAGGUCAUGCAGGGCCUCAAGGCCACUUUGGACCCCAAUAACCUAAUGAAUCCUGGGAAGAAAUCCAAUGAAGGCGCAUGUCUGGCUCGCCCCAGCUACCAAGUCAGACGAACGCAGUGUGAGCAGAGGACAGAGAUUGAUAUGAGCUAGUAACGCUGUCAUAACCAAGUUAACAUGCAGAUGGCACAGCAUUCAUAUAUUUUUUUUAUGCUGAAUUAUUGAGAUUGUUGACAAAUGACAAUUAGCAGCCUAAAGGUAUUUCCCCAAAUAGGCCUAUUGGUUAUUGGCAUGAAUUUAUCACGCAAUUAUCAUACAACUGUUUAUUAUUGGUUCUUAAACUAUACAUUUAAAAAACAAUAAAUA